Manis javanica (Malayan pangolin) is the source of this 2059-nucleotide non-coding RNA. Lineage: Eukaryota; Metazoa; Chordata; Mammalia; Pholidota; Manidae. The record is from RefSeq and is a predicted model, not a curated record.
UCACGCGCCGCCUGGAACGCCAGGCCAACCCUGCUUCCUGUCCCCACUCCCCAGGAAUGAGGUGAUCAUGUCUCACACACUGAAAUUCAAUAAACUGAAACAAUCAGAGGAAGUGUGGAGCUUUCUCCACAGAGGCAGCGAAACGGGACCCUGCUUAUCAAAGUGACAAGAUUUGUUCAGUUGCUACAAACUUCCAAAGACUUCCUUUCCCAAAAGAAAGGCCGGGAGAAAGCAGAAGGAAAAUGGAUUGAAAAACACACACUUCAGACAUACCACCCAGGGAAGGAGAGAAAAUAUGAAUGGAUUCAGAUCUUACACGCAAAGGAGCCAAGAAACCAGCUUAGAUCUGUGACAGUGCCGCUCAUAGUGUGUGCCAUGAAGACACCGAAAUGUGUGAGAGUGAAGAUAUAAUAGGAAAUUCAGAAAUUUCUCUUCUUGAAGAAAAGCAAAAAUAACCCAUCAGUCCCAGAGGAAGAAACACGGAAGCCUCAUUGGACGGCGGGACACAAACGGCUUCGUGAGUCUCUCGGUUCUUCGCCUCUGAUGAAAUUCCACCCGUAAGUGACAGAACUGUGCAGGUGAAGAGCUCUGCCAAAUGGCCUUUCUCCAGUCGUGCUGGGACCCACGUCUUCAACAAGUCUCCGUUUCUGCUGGCCCUGAUGGGACAGCUGAUGAUGGGGGAUAGCUGCAUCUAUGGAAUGACAUCGCUAAUGAGUGCUGCACAAAGUUGAGGCUGCUGAAUACAGUGCCAAAUGAAGGACAGACGACAAUGAGAAAUCUUAUGUUAAGUAUUUUUUAAAAUGCUACAUGAAGAUGCCAGCAAAGUUUCCCAUCCAGGAAGUUCAAUGGUAGACAUUAAGAGCAAGGUUACAGGAUGUACACAUCAUGGUGCUAAUACGCAUACAUUAUGUUAGAAAUAAAAAAUUCUAUCACAUCACACCAGCAAGUUUCAAGAUUAAAGUAACUCAUAGUGCCUCUGAGACUCUGUGUGGAGAGGCUGUUGGCCUGGUGGGAAAUAACUCUCCGGCCAAGCUGACAGGGAAAAGGGGGGAUGGCUGAGGCAGGCAGGGGUGCUUGUGGCUGGGUGGGGAGGCACACGCCAAGACAGGGUGGAGACCUGGACUCGGGCUUGUGUUAUUCACCAAACGAACAACAGCUAAUGCUAUGUCUAGGUUUUUGCCUUGAGAAAAUUGGUAUAAAAAUAGGUGAUUUAAGUUCUCUGCUGUGGUCUAUAGCAUUACCCUCACUUUGUGGGUAAUUGUUAUAUACAAGUUCUAAGCCAUUCCUGUAAAAUAGAUAUCAAGAGGAAAGUUAUCAAGCCCUUAUAAUGUCAAAGAUCCAAUUAUAGUUCAGGCUGAAUCACAUGCCCAGUUCACCGCCCUGAGUAACAAGAAACAUAUAAUACAAAUGUAAAUUUUUUUCAACAUUAGUAUUAUAUCAGGAAAUGUGAUUCACUAUGAAGCCAGACUCAUAAUUGUAGAACUGUUUAUUUGAAAGAUUCCUUUUUUCCCUAUCAGCUACCCUAUGUAAUUGUGUGCUCUGGACUUCAUUUCGACAUAAUGUUCUGGAAACCACUUUGAUACCUUGAGAACCACUGAGAUAAAGUUUUGGCUCCCUGGGUAAAGUUUCUGGAGGCUGUGUUAGCAGCUGGGGGCUGGGUGGUGGUGACAGAUCCUGGGGCCGUGGGAAUCACAGUUUCAGAGGUCUAGUCUUGUUGAAGCUGAGACUUCUGGGGGUUCACUUGGAGAGAUUAAGUUCACUUCAGGCAAGGCCCUGGGAGCCAAGAGCUGUCCUGUCCUCUCAUUGCUUCAUAUGUGACCCAAUGAGACUGACUUGCAGAAGCCACUUGUGUGUGUACGUUUGUUUCCCUCCUGUUAUGUUCACAGAUUUUAAGUCCUCAAAACAUGAGCUAUUUUUCCCCAUGCUAUCUGAUUAAAAGGGGCAGGGGGCACCUUGCUUUGCUUGCCAAAUGUCUGUGGAGAUAGAAAACAAGCCUGGUCUGGCUGAGCAGGCAGUGGGGCAGAUAGAUAAUGCCCCUUCUUGUUCACUCACCUGUGCU